UGGGGAAUAUUGCACAAUGGGCGCAAGCCUGAUGCAGCCAUGCCGCGUGUAUGAAGAAGGCCUUCGGGUUGUAAAGUACUUUCAGCGGGGAGGAAGGGAGUAAAGUUAAUACCUUUGCUCAUUGACGUUACCCGCAGAAGAAGCACCGGCUAACUCCGUGCCAGCAGCCGCGGUAAUACGGAGGGUGCAAGCGUUAAUCGGAAUUACUGGGCGUAAAGCGCACGCAGGCGGUUUGUUAAGUCGGAUGUGAAAUCCCCGGGCUCAACCUGGGAACUGCAUUCGAAACUGGCAGGCUAGAGUCUUGUAGAGGGGGGUAGAAUUCCAGGUGUAGCGGUGAAAUGCGUAGAGAUCUGGAGGAAUACCGGUGGCGAAGGCGGCCCCCUGGACAAAGACAGACGCUCAGGUGCGAAAGCGUGGGGAGCAAACAGG
RNAcentral lists this ribosomal RNA (429 nucleotides) under Chloroflexota bacterium. Its description in RNAcentral is "Chloroflexi bacterium partial 16S ribosomal RNA". It matches the Rfam family "Bacterial small subunit ribosomal RNA", at positions 355 to 776 of the family's 1533-position model. The record is from RNAcentral. Lineage: Bacteria; Bacillati; Chloroflexota.